CAUACUCUCCUUGUCUACAUUCUCUCUAAAAGCUUUAUAUCUCUUCUUACAAAAGUUCUGAUUAUUUUUAGAAGAGAAAAUUGGUCCAAGUAUUGAGAUAAGUUUAAUCUUUGUUGAGUUAUUUCUUACUUGCUUUACAUAUAUAUAGAUAUACUAAUACACAUUGUUAUACAUAAUUUUAUAUAUCUAUAUUUCAUCUAUUUGUCAAAUAAAAGGAUAUUUGGGCGCCGCAAGGCUACGGAGAUACACCUCUAUGGAGAGGAAUUCGAACCGUACGAUUUCUUAUAGUCUUCAGUAACCUUUUAUCGACAUUAUUUAUAUAAAUAUCGUAAAAUAGAUACGACACUUGAUAGCUCAAAACGACACUGAGAUAUUCCUCCAAAAAGAGGAGUCAUCCGAACUGGAUUUGAGAAUCGUAGUGAUCUAUUGAAAAUAUUUAUAUAAAUAUCAAUUAUAAAAUUUAUAAAUUUUGUUGAACUUAGACACCGCAAGGCUACGGAGACACACCUCUAUAAAGAGGAAUUCGAACCGUACGAUUCCUUGUAGUACUAAGUGACAUUAUUUAUAAAAGUUCACAUAAUAGAUAAAAUAUCCUUAUAUAUUAUCUGUGUUAAACAAUAAUAUUUGUUAUAUCAACUUAUGCUUAACUGAUUUAAUUAUUAUACUUGAUAAAUAUUAUUGAUUGUUUCUUUUUAUAUACAAGUAUUGAUACAUAAAAAAUCAUUCUUAUAAUACUUGUUAAAAAUUAUCUGAGACAUAAUCCUGCUUAAUUCAUAGAAAAACACUCUUUAUUUUAAAGAAUUAAUAAUUCUUUAUAAAUUACAUGAAAAUUAUAUAUCUGCUUAACCAGAAACAUUUUUGAGCUAAAACAAAAAAAUUAACUUAUCUGCUUAUUCUAGAAGCAUCUCUCUAAAACAUAAGAUUUACUUGAACUUUUAUAACUGUGCAUAUUUUAUAUAUUUGCUUAAUCAGAAGCAUCAAUUGAUCUAAGCAUAAAUUUCUAUCUGCUUUCAAAGAAGCAUAUUUUUUAAAUAUAAAAGUCUUUGAACUUUUAUAAAUAUAUAUCUGUACUAAAUUAAUAUCUGCUUACUUGAGAAGCAUUCAUCUGUACUAAAUUGUUAUCUGCUUAUUUGAGAAGCACAUUAUUGUAAAAUUAUUUGUAAAAAAAAGAAAAAGGUCAAAGUUAGUUUAUUUUAUGUACCUGUGAGAAAGACGAGUAAUUUUUCGACCAAGACCAGAGUUUUAGAGAGGUCAGCGGGAAGUUGGGUCUCUAGUGUACUUGUGAGGUGAGGAAGAGGCUGUUGUUUCAAGACCAGAUCAUAGAAUAGAAUUGAACUCAAAAGGAAGAACAACUAAACUUGAGGAGGGAGUGAGGAGCUUGCUGUCCAAGAUUGAAUAGUAAAAAUAGUUGGAAGUUUGUCUAUAAAACUUUGUAAAGGCUUCUCCGCCUGUUGAAGGAGUUUUUAUUACAGAUAGUAAUACGAUCUCAAGUUCCUAGUAAGGACUUGAGAUUGGACGUAGCAACAUACCAAGGGGUGUAU
Molecule: long non-coding RNA, 1541 nt
Filed under: Panax ginseng (ginseng)
Lineage: Eukaryota; Viridiplantae; Streptophyta; Magnoliopsida; Apiales; Araliaceae
Description: long non-coding RNA (PGIN_LNC005736)
Source: RNAcentral